CCUACGGGAGGCAGCAGUGAGGAAUAUUGGACAAUGGGCGCAAGCCUGAUCCAGCCAUGCCGCGUGCAGGAUGACGGUCCUAUGGAUUGUAAACUGCUUUUGCACAGGAAGAAACAACAUUACGUGUAAUGUCUUGACGGUACUGUGAGAAUAAGGAUCGGCUAACUCCGUGCCAGCAGCCGCGGUAAUACGGAGGAUCCAAGCGUUAUCCGGAAUCAUUGGGUUUAAAGGGUCCGUAGGCGGUUUAGUAAGUCAGUGGUGAAAGCCCAUCGCUCAACGGUGGAACGGCCAUUGAUACUGCUAGACUUGAAUUAUUAGGAAGUAACUAGAAUAUGUAGUGUAGCGGUGAAAUGCUUAGAGAUUACAUGGAAUACCAAUUGCGAAGGCAGGUUACUACUAAUGGAUUGACGCUGAUGGACGAAAGCGUGGGUAGCGAACAGGAUUAGAUACCCUGGUAGUCCACGCCGUAAACGAUGGAUACUAGCUGUUGGGAGNAUUACUAGUGUGUAGAGAAGUAGAUAAGUAUCCACCGUCGGGUAGGUACGGUUCGUCGAAGAAAGUAGAACGUACGAAGUAGUAAGUUAGUACGGACGUGAGACGUUGCCGACGGACGACGACGAGGGAGGUAGGG
This 631-nucleotide ribosomal RNA is filed under the name uncultured bacterium. RNAcentral's name for it is "bacterial SSU rRNA". The stretch from base 1 to 531 matches the Rfam family "Bacterial small subunit ribosomal RNA", at positions 338 to 873 of the family's 1533-position model. The record is from RNAcentral.